This 75-nucleotide transfer RNA is filed under the name candidate division WS2 bacterium. Its description in RNAcentral is "tRNA-Val". It matches the Rfam family "tRNA". From Rfam's summary of the family: Transfer RNA (tRNA) molecules are approximately 80 nucleotides in length. The record is from RNAcentral. RNAcentral also lists the same sequence under 2 other names.
GGGCGGUUAGUUUAGUGGUAGAACGCUACUUUGACACGGUAGAGGUCGAUGGUUCGAUUCCAUCACUGCCCACCA